GAUGAAGAACGUAGCGAAAUGCGAUAAGUAAUGUGAAUUGCAGAAUUCAGUGAAUCAUCGAAUCUUUGAACGCACAUUGCGCCCAUGAGUAUUCUAGUGGGCAUGCCUGUUCGAGCGUCAUUUCAACCCUUAAGCCUAGCUUAGUGUUGGGAGCCUACUGCUUUUACUAGCUGUAGCUCCUGAAAUACAACGGCGGAUCUGCGAUAUCCUCUGAGCGUAGUAAUUUUUAUCUCGCUUUUGACUGGAGUUGCAGCGUCUUUAGCCGCUAAAUCCCCCAAUUUUUAAUGGUUGACCUCGGAUCAGGUAGGAAUACCCGCUGAACUUAAGCAUAUCAAUAAGCGGAGGA
RNAcentral lists this unclassified non-coding RNA (346 nucleotides) under soil metagenome. RNAcentral's name for it is "partial contains 5.8S ribosomal RNA, internal transcribed spacer 2, and large subunit ribosomal RNA". The stretch from base 1 to 120 matches the Rfam family "5.8S ribosomal RNA", at positions 35 to 154 of the family's 154-position model. The record is from RNAcentral.